This 11124-nucleotide long non-coding RNA is filed under the name Setaria viridis. RNAcentral describes it as "long non-coding RNA (SVIR_LNC003311)". Lineage: Eukaryota; Viridiplantae; Streptophyta; Magnoliopsida; Poales; Poaceae. The record is from RNAcentral.
AAGAAGAAAGGUGGAGGGAGAAGAAGAGGAAGAAGGAAAAAAAAUGAAGGAAAAGAAGAAAGAGAAAGGGAGGGAGAAAGAAGAAGAAAAAGGGGAAAAAGGCGGUGAAAGAUUCGGGACUUGACCGACGCGCGUGAUGGAUUGGACGGCACGCGGCGAAAUUUACGGGGACGGAAAAAGAUGGUUUGACGAGCUGGGGCCAGGACGCUGGGUCCGUCGGAAAGGAAAAGAUUUGACGGAGCUCAGUGGUCGGAAAAAUUUUGGAAUGUAUUUUUAACGAGUGAUUUAAUUGGGUGUAUUUUUAUGGGCGUUACAGUCAUUGAUGACAACCUUGAUUAAAGCUUACAAAAGAUAUAUCAAAAAGCUUUUGAGUGCUGAGAUUUAAAUAGAGCUCCCCCUUAACAUGUGCAUAGUAUUCUUUUUUCAUCAAAUUUCGCCUAAAAUGCCAAUUUGCAUAUUCUCAAGACAAACAUGGAGCUGCCCCUGAAUCUCAGCAUCCGUGGGGUGCAAAACAAGCAUGUGAACAAAUAACACGUGAUGCAUGUAGCAAAUAUUCCACCAAUCAAAUAAAAUGAGAGAAGGUGGUGUUGUCUGCCAGGCCAAAAUCGGAACCUCCGAUUCUAAGAAACCAGAACUUCCGUUUUCUGCCUGACAGCACUUAUCAAAGACAGUCAUCAACCAAUAAAAUCACAAUAGCAUGCAAAUGAGUUUAAUAAAGCUUAAACAGGUUUAACGCACAUAGUAGCACACAUAGUAGCUAAGAUUGAAUUUAUUACAGGGGCCUAUUGCAUCCAACAGCUAGAAAUCAGAACAUUCGGUUCUGGAAAACCAAAACCUCCGGAUUUGCUAGACAACAAUUGACAAAAGCUUGGACCAAAGCUUUAAUACUUAACUUCUUCUCCCCCUUUGUCAUCCAUCACCACAAAAGAUCUUGGGGGCUUUUCUUAGCUUCUAGUAUUCAGCUAAAUCAUCAUGGGGCUCCCUAUCACCAUCAUUGCCACUCGGGCCACCAAAAGGAGGAGGAGGAUUUUGUGGAAAAUCCAAUGAACAUCGAAGCAAGAUGUUGUGCUGCAUCUCUAGGGAUGUUUGGGUCAACAGUGGAGGGCUGAGGAGUGUUGGUGCCAAGAAACGGAUCACUAGAAGAAGAACCACCACCACUAGUCAUACCACCAAAUGUGGGAUUAUAAUAACCAAAUGUCCUUCCCCAAUAAUCAACAGUUUGAUCAUUCUCCCACUGUUGUUCAAUUGUUUCCGGCUCACUUUCUUGACCAUCGGAGCCAAUAUGAGAGGGAGGAUAGUUUGGCAUGUUGAGCCCUUGCAUUUGUUUGUGCUAUAUUGUGUCCUUUCUCUUUUGCCUCUCCUUAUGCAACUUGGUGUUCAUAGAGCUGCACAUGCCCGUAAAGAAGUUGAACAUUUUGCAAAGAGGGGAGGGAGGCUUAUACCUUGCUUGAGAGCCACUAGCACCACCUUAUGUAGAUGUGGUCCUUGCUACCCUAGAUGGUGCAGCAGCUCUAGAUGGUGCAGCAGCACUAGAAGGAGCACCGGAAGGGGUAGCAGCACUAGAAGGUCCCUCUAGCUCAAUAGAUGGACUAAAAACACCUUCGGGAGGGUUGAAAAACUGCUCAAGUGUUGGCCCAUCAAUGUCAUUCUUCAAAUGAUAUGGCUUGUGGAUGUGAUCAUACUCAAAUCGAAGCCAUGUCACAUGCUCAAUCACAUGCAUAAGAUAAGGAUCAUAUCCACAACACUUUUGUGGAGAGCUCACAAUCUCUUUUAUCUCCUCCCAAAUGUAAUCCACCAUACUAAAAUCACUUGCGCUAGGUGACAUGGCCUCAAGUAAAUUCCGACCAUAAAAAGUGAUCUUGCUAGCAUCACCUUCUCUUGGUGCGAGUGUUUUUCUAAACAACCGGUUAAGAUAGCCAUAGAAUGGAAUCAUGUUAUGUGUCUCUCCAUAGUUGACCAGUUGAGGUGUGAGAUACAUUCCGUACAUUGCACCUUUUGAUAGAGAUUUGCUAAUAUGAAUCCUCACAAGGUCUAGAUCAUCCGGUGCUAAAGCCAAGGAGUGAAGCAAAUUCCCUUAUGGAUAUUCCAUAACAAUUUCCUUCCGUCAUCCAAUGCACCCACCUCACAUUUUUUAUCACAUUAAAGUAGCAAGUGGCAUAGAAUUGAGCAAUGAUUUCUCUAUUCCAACUAUGUUCAAAGCCCAUGAUGUAAUACACAUUUUUGUCCUUGCAAGCUUGUAUCACUUCAUUUACCAUGGGGUCUCUCAAAUUUGCCAAGUGAGGCCAAUCAAUGAAUUGAGAGCGAGCAAUGGGUACACCUUUAGCAAGAAUAGCACUCUCAUAGAAGUUUUGGUAAAAAUCUGUGUAGAAUCUAUAAUCCACAUUUGCCUUUCCAAUUUUCUGGGGAUUCUUUUCUCUUUCUUUUCGGCAAAUUUCAGUCAUUCCCGCAGCCUUGUAGUUCACUUUGACUCUAUAAAUAGCUGCUUGAGGUGCUCUCAUCCUUGCUUCUCAAAGGACACCUGAUUGUGAAGGUUGAAAAUGAGAUGUAGGCAUGUCAAAAUCAUCACCUUCUUCUUCUCCAUUGUUACCACUGCCAGUACCUUGACUAUCCUCAUGACUGCUGGUCCUUAUGGCUUUGCCCUUCCUCUUCAAGCUCUCACAAGGUGGCUGCACAUAGGUCGCAUCCUCAGUCUCCUCAUCAUCACUAGAUGUGUCAUUCUCAUCACUGCUGGGAUUUUCAAUGCGAAUGGUCCCUCUGGAUAGUUCUCGUGUGACGGUGGCCCUCUGAGAUCUCCUAGGCUGCACUGGUGGAUCAUUGCUUGGAUUUGCUUUCUCUUUUCCCCUUCUCCGAAAAACAAUGUCCUUGCUUCCCCUUGGAGGAUCUGUGUCAAACAUGUGCAAUAGGCUUAGAAAUGAACCUCUGACAGUUAAACCAAUCUAUCCCUUCAGAUGAAAUGAUGAUAUGGAUAGAGAGGAAGGAUGAACUCGGGUGUCCCUGCCCAAACUGGAACUUCCGGUUCCUGAAAUCUGGAACUUCUAGUUUUGGCAGCGAAACCCUAGAUCAUAAAUCCAUCCGUUCGACCAUGGGAAAUUGAAUCCAUUACUAGGAAUAGCAUCUAGGGUCUAAAUGUAGAUGUUUUGACCAAGGGAAACUCAGUGAUAAACCCUAGAAAAGUAGAUCAGGGAUGAACUCGAUUUAGGGUACCUUAAGACAUGUUUUUGAAAUUCUGCAGGAGAAAAACGGAGGGGAAACGGAUCCUCCGGUCGUGAAUCGGAAGAAUCAACCACCAAUCCUUGAAUCCCAUGGUUGAAUCUUCGGAUCUCCUUGAAUUGCCCCUUUUUCACCUCUCCCCACUAUUCCUGGUCGGGCUUGAGUCGAUAGGGAUGAAUGGGAGAGAGAAGGGGUAAGACCCGGGCCCAUAGGAAUAUAACCGUUGGGGGGCCGAUGGAAACCAGAACUUCCGGUUUCAACUUAACUCGCUAAGAAAAUCUAAACUUUCUCAAAUGAGAUGGAUUUGAUUGUUCUAGAGACUCAGAUUGGGAUCCAUAUGUAAAUUUGUUCCUCAUGAGAUAGAUUUUGAUCAUGGGUGAUGGCAUUUCCUAUUGAUAAGAGAUUUGGGAUAGAAUGUCCAAAAUAUAGCCCUUGAGACGAGAUAAAAAGAAGAUCCUAUGGACUUGAGAGAGUUUCACCAUUUGUGGUUAGCCAGCAAACAAGCAAGUAUAACCAUAACUACAAAUGGGUCAACAUGGCCACAAAGACCAAGAUUCAAAUAGUUUUUCAAAAAGCACACUUCUUAGUUAAAAAAAUUUAAAAAAAAUUAUCCUAUCUCACGCAGAGCAUGCAAUGAUCAUAUAGACAAGAUAAGAAUUGGUAUGUUUAACUCAUGCUCUCUUUGACCGUUUAAAAGGACAUAGAACAUAUUCUAGUCAACAAAGAUAGAGAGGCAUCAAUUAAAUAUUCAAAAACCAUCACAACCACAAAGGUGAGACUAACAAUCUUUGCAUGCCAAACACACUAGCAUGAAUAAGCCUAGAUGCAUAAGGUAAAACAAGGAGUUUGAGAGAUUUCAUACCUUAGCCCUAGAACAAGACUUCUUCACUUAGAAGAAUGAUGGAACCAUUUUCUUCAAUAGGAUAUUUUUUAAGCCCAAUUACUAGCUCCAUUAGAUGCCAUCAAGCCCUCAAGUUAAAUUAUUUGUCAUAGUGUUUAUAGCAUAUGACAUAAGUAUUUGCUACACACAUGAGAGCUUGAAAAGGAGUUAGUAGAUAGAACAUAAAAUAUGAGACAAGCUCCCCCUUAAUAUGUGCAUCAAAGAUUUGAAUCUUGAGACAUGCACUUUUGGUUCAUUUAAGGGACUAGAGAUGCUUGACCCAUAUUUUGAGUCACAAGAGUAGAAUCAUGCUAAGUGAUUAAGUUUAGAAUUGCUCAUAGUGAUGUGACCUGAGGUGAAGCAUGAGGUCUGAUCAUAAAAAUUAUAUUCACCUUUGUUAACUUGUACUUUUAUUUCAUUGAUUUAGACCCAGCUCAAUGAUGAUAGAUCCGCACUUUUCAGAAACUUCAGCAGAAAGUUGCGAAAUCUCUGCAGAUUCUCUCUUCAGAGAAAACGAACCUUUCAGAUUCAAAGACAGAACCUCCGAUUUUUGCUUUAGCAUAUCAACGUUGAGGAUCUGCUGACAUCCUUGACUUCUUUUCUUAAAUACAACAUUAUCAUUUGUGAUCUGCAGGUGUAUUUAUCACAAAGCUCAUCUAAUGGCAUGAGAGAUAAAUAUUACUUAACUAGACCAAGAAUGCUAUCUAGUUGUUGUAUAUGAGAGGGUUUUACCUGUAUGCCAUUAUGAAAGUUGGGUCCAACCUCCAUGCCCCUAAAAAGUUCGUCGACACCUGUAUGCCCAAGUGCAACUUUGUUUAUCCCUUCAUGCCAUUCCGUCCCUAUUCCGUUCGGUUUUGACCGUUUGAGAGCUCUUACAAGCGGGCCCAGGUAGUGAAAAUGUCCAUUGUACCCUUUGUGUCUCAGGCAGAUCGGACAGUGAGAAGGAGCUAGGGGAUCUGAAGUUCCCAAGGCCAUUCCUCCUUGAGCUUGCGGCCAGUUGGCCAGGAUGCGGCCAAGCAGCCGAGCGCGUCACCCUCCUUGAGCUUGCUCUCGACCUCCUCCUCCUCCCCGUCCUCCCCGCCGGCCUCCGACGAGGAGUUCUCCCCGAUCAACGCCGCCGCCUGCCCGCACCUCCCGCCAGCACCUCAUCGACGCCACCGCCCGCCCGCACCUCUCGUUGCUCCACCUCCCCGUCGCCGCGCUCCCGCCGCCCGAGAUCGGCGCCGGUAGGGACCCGCUCCUCUGCCCGGGACCGGUGCCGGCGGGGACCGCUCCUCCGCCCGGGACCGGCGCCGGCGGGGACCGCUCCUCCGCCCGGGACCGGCGCCGGCGGGAACCCGCUCCUCCCUCCAAUGUGCAAUCCCCCACGCUGCUGCCGCCACCUCGUCGCCUUGGCACGCUCAAAUGUAACGCCGCGGCAGCACCACCACUUGCCAGGCCUCCAACUCCAACAACCACCGCGAUGACGUCCCACUCUGCCCUCGUGAGGUGGCUCUCCACCACCGCCCGCUCCCCGCCGCCGACGCCGCGCUCCCUCCCUGCCAGCCUCGCCUUCCUCUUCCUCUCCCUGUGCCCGCAGCGCGCGCUCCUCGCCACCCUCGACCUCGUGUUCCUCCUCACCGCGCUUGCGCUCGCCCUCCACACCUGGCACACUCGCCGCCACAAUGACGGCGGCGGCAUCGAACACCGCACGACAAAGCGGGAGCCCCUCCUACCUCGACGGCGGGUCCCCGCCGCGGAGGUAGCACCCGGCAUGGGCUAACGCUCGCGGCGUCCGGGGCCCAGGUGGCGACGGCGCUUGUGCUGCUGGUGUCCGCGCUCCUGCGCCUCCGCCGGGGGGCCACGGGGGCGUGGGUCGCGGCAGAGUGCGUGCUCCUCGCCGCGCACGUCGUGGCGCACAUCACGGCCGCGGGGGUCAUUGUGGCGGAGAAGAAGCUUGGGGCGGCCGCGCUGACCGUCCACCCGCUGCACCUCAGGCUGUUCUGGCUCGGCACGGCGGCUUUCGCCAUGCUCUUCUCCGGGUGCACGGUCGCCAGGUACACCGCCGGGGAGCUCUCCUCCUAGAUGACCCACUCGCGUUCGCGUGGCUGGCGCUCUCGCUCCCGCUGCUGUAGUUCUCGGUCACCGGCUCCACUGGCCUCGCCGUCGUCAGCGCUUCGUCCGACAUUGGCCAUGCCGCCGCGGCAGAGGUGACGUACGCCACGGGGACAAGAUCCGUGAGCUCCGAGAGGAAGAGGUCGGGUGGCUGGCCAAGUUCAUGUACUUCAUGUGCGCCAACACCAUCGUGACAAAGGGUACAAUGGACAUUUUCGCUGCCCGGACCCGCUUGUAAGAGCUCUCAAACGGCCAAAACCGAACGGAAUAGGGACGGAAUGGCAUGGAGGGAUAAACAAAGUUGCACUUGGGCAUACAGGUGUCGACGAACUUUUUAGGGGCAUGGAGGUUAGACCCAACUUUCGUAAUGGCACACAGGUAAAACCCUCUGUAUAUGAUUAGCACAUGAGCAUGUUCAUAUACAACUAGCUAGAAAGCUAGGAGUAAGGUACUUGUUACCAAGGAUGCAUUUGAAGAAUAGAACGGUUCAUAUGUUUCCUCUUGGCAUUGUUUCUUGAAUAGACAUGAAGUUCCCACUUGAGCCAAAGAUAGAAGAUAAAGCUCUUCCCAACUGUGCCAAGCUCCAAUGCAUCUAUAAAUACCUGUAGAGAACUUUCAAGCACACUUUGGUACCCAAACCAUGUUGGGCCCACUAGAGUUAGUCAACAAGUUCUUAGGUGCCAAAUAGCUUUUGUGCUAGCCUUAGGUGAGUGAGUCACUUUGGCAGCACAAGAGUCAUUUAAGUUCUUCCUAAGCUCCUUAGAAUCAUAAUGAAUGGACUUGAGCUCAGGAGAAUUACCAUUUGGGCAAUCCUUACCAAGAUGACCCUUCUUUCAACAUUCAUAGCAAAUUUUGUGCCUGAUGUUGCUUGUUGCUUUCUUGUCUUGAUUUCUGACAGCAACACCUCCCAUAUAUAUUUUUCUUGAGCUUUAAGGAAGCCUUUGUUCAGCUUGAUAUGGGUCUCACAGCCAAAACCGGUACCUCUGGUUUUGCGAAAUUGGAACCUCUUAUUUUUCCAGAGUGAGACACAUUUCUUGUACAGGACGCAAUCUUGUGUCCUUUUUCAUGACAGCUGAAGCAUCUCCUUUUUGCUUGGCUUCUUUGUCUCUUGGAGAGUGCUGGCUUGUCUUCUUUCUUCAUUAGGCAUGUGGAAGCAAAGUGUCCCAUUUUUGAGCACUCGAAACACUUAAUGUGAUCAAGUCUUUUCUUCUUGUUUUCUACUUCAGCUUUGCAAUGGACUUGAUAGAGUUGUUGUAGGAGCGUUGCAGAGUUGAUCCUUUCUCAAACUUCUUCACCAUGGAAUCACGGUUAUUUUGAGAAGGUUGUGCAAUGCUCCUGUCCUUUAGCCUAGACAAGUCCAUUUUGAGCUUCUCGACCUCUUGCUUCAAAUUCUCAUUCUCUUGGGUAAUGAGAUCAUCACACGACUCUAUAAGAACUUGAUCAUACCAAGAAACUUUUGCUUGCAAGUCGCAAGGGUUAGCACAAGAUAUAUUAUUUAUAGCUAUUGAGCAUGUACACUUGUGCAAUUGAGGUUUUGAGGAUUUUACCGUGGCAAUCAUAAUCUCAUGAGCCACUUCAAGCAUAGUAUGUGAUUCCACAAGUUUCCCAUCAGAACAUUCUAGUUCUUUGUGAGUAGCUUGCAAGUUCACAUACUUGCUAGAGAACUUCUCAAGUUGAGCCUUGAGCUUUUGGUUUGCAUCCUCCAGUGGUGCUACACAUGAAAGAGAGUUCAUAGCACAUGCAUAUCCUUUUUCUAGAUCUUUACAUUUAUCAAAUAAGGAUACAUUGGAUUCAUUGAGCUUCCUCAUUUCUUCUUUGAGAGACUUGAGUUCUUUGAGUCUUUCAAUAAGAUAAUCCUCUUAUCUCUUUACUUGUACACUGUCUUCAUGAGUUUGACUAUCUCUUCCUUAUCUCUUUUAGACAUCUUGUCAAACUCAAACUCAAACUCAAACUCUUCAUUUUUGUCUUCUCAUUUCUUCUCACCUAUAGCCAUGAGCAUUGAUGGGUGUACUGGUGUGAACAUGAGUGAUUUGGACAAGUGGACUCUUCAUGAGGUCGAUGACAUGAAUCAUCUUUACUGAGGGAGCAGUCAACGGUCACCUCGCUGAUAGAACUGGAGCAUCCGGUUUCCAAAACCGGAACCUCCAGCUUCACUUCAUCAGCUGAGGCAGGAGAGUUCUUGUGAUCUCUCGGUUGAGUUGGUUGAGUCUUUUCUUCUAACUCACUGCCAUUUUGACUAUGGUAUUCACAAGCACCAUACAUAUCUUUCAGAGUAAUCCAUAUACAAUGCGCAUCAUGAUUUGUAUGAUAGUCGUCAUCCUCAUCCAUAAUAGCAUCUAAUACAUCUUCACUCAAAGCAUGGAUUAAAACAUAAGAUGCUUGAGCGUUGAGUUGUAGGCAUUUCUCUUCCUCUUGGGUUAAUUUUGACCGAUUAACAUUUGAAGGAGAAAUGCUCACAACUACAACCUGCUAGAUUUGAGGACCCAUGGCCCUAAAGAUAUCAAGUACAAGAGCAGACCAAGAGUCAUAGUUCAAGCCAUCAUAGAUGAGUGGCUUGAAGUCAAAGGUUACCUCGUAUAGUGUCGACAACUUUUUUCACGACGGUUAAGCUUGGGUGUGAGUCCAGACUCUGAUACCAAUUGAAAGGAUCUUGAUGUCGUCUAAAGGGGUGAAUAGGCGUAACCCAAAAUCGUCGCCACUUAAAAUAAGUUCAUCAGCGACUUGCGGAUUAUUUCAGAAAUACUUUCGGAGAUUGCGCAAAUUAAGGAAUCCCCAAAGAAAUCUCCAGAAUCUCCAAAAAUAGGAAACACAUGCCUUAAGCAGUGGAAUAAAAUUAUCUGCCUGAAAAUCGGAACUUCUGAUUUCAAAACUGGAACCUCUGGUUUUGGCUCGAGCAGGGAGAAACCCCAAACCUUAUGCAUUGCAAGUGAAAUAAAGAUCAAACCAGAUUUAGAGAGAUGCUCAUUAUGGUGCUUCUUAGUAGGAUCACAAAGUUCCUGCACUUCACAAACACUAGCACCCGAAUAGAUCAACCAAUAUUAUGAGAUCACAAUGAAAUAGAAGUGCAAUGCAAAUCUAAGCAAACCAGUGAGGAGACACAGUGAUUUGUUUCACCGAAGUUUAGAUUCACCCCUGGGAAAAUCCUACAUCUCCGUUAGGUGCUUCCAAAGAAGCCGGAUUGCACUCAACCCUUUCCCCACUUCACUAGUGAGACACAGUGAUUUGUUUCACCGAAGUUCAGAUUCACCCUCGGGCAAAUCCUACAUCUCCGUUAGGUGCUUCCAAAGAAGCCGGAUUGCACUCAACCCUUUCCCCACUUCACUAGUUAGCUUCUUGCCUUUCGGAGAUGAAGCUUGACCUGCACAAACUGUCCUGUGGCUCACCACACCUUGGGAGCUCUUGGGCGAUGCCUAGCCGUCUAGGAGGAACACCUACAAAAGUAACAAAUGCUUCACUUGAAACUUGGCAAGGCAGACCAGUGCUCAAGCGUAUGAGUGCUCUUUUAGUGCUGUCAAAUGACUCCUCUCUACUACCCAACUCACAAGAUCUAGCAAAGAUCACACUAUCUCACAAAGCGGGGUUGGGGAGAGCUAUGUGGCUUUAGUUCAGCUAAGAACAAGCAAGAAGCACACCAUCAACUACAAAAACAGCAACCAACCACUGAGGAGGUCGUGGGGUAUAAAUACUCCACUCCCCAAAAACUAGCCGUUAGAGUUGUUAGACCAAAAUCGGAACUUCCAAUUUUCUAAAACCGGAAUCUCCGGUUUUUCAAACCAACUAGCCGUUAGGUGUUAAAUUCAAAACUUUUCUGGAACUUUCUCCAAAAACUCUGGAACUUCCAGAAACUCCUCCAGAAACUCCAAAACUUUUUGUUUUGCCACUUCCUGACCCGUUAGUGUGUACGUGUAGCUUUUGUGUCUCUCAUCCCUCACAUACAUAGGAUAUUUGAGCACUGAGACUUUGUCAAAUGACCAUAUGAUGUAUCCCUCUUGACAGUAUGGCACACCUAUACUCAAGAUCAAAACAUAAAUACCGUAUUCAUCCUCUUGAGCUUCUUUACCAUGAACCAUGCCAUACUUUGAUAAUCAGAUCAACUUGAGAGCUGCAUCCAUUCUUGUCUCUUUGGUUUGAGCACUGCAACCUUGAGCUAGUGACUUGGAUCAAUAUUCAACCGCAUAUGAAUGAAACCCAAUUUUUUAUCACAAGUCACUUCCUCAUAUGACUCAAUGAACAUUUGAUGCAUUCAAUUGCUAUACUCAGUAAGGCUUGACUUGAUACCUCAAAAUCCUCCAAGCACUAGCCGCUUCACCCUAGCCAAGCUCAUUGCCCAAGUCACUACUUGACCAAACUUUGCCUAGUACCUCGUUGCUAGUCACUUGCUUGAUUUCUUCAUCUAAUCGCUGCCGCAUUUGAUUCUAGCUAUGUUUUGACACCAUGAAUGAAAUUCACUUGAGAUCAUAUCUUUUUUUUUACUUCUAUCCUAUUUGUUCAUAACAAGCUUCUCAUUUUAUUUAGAGACCAACUAAUAUCCCAAUGCCAUCAUGCCUCUAUCUUUCCUUCAAUUUGCUUGUCACAUAUCACACAUAGUCAUUAUGGGAUCCACAUAAUAUUCCUUAUUAUGAUAUUCAUUAUUUAGCUUCAAACAAUCUUGCAAUAUAAGGCUAUCAACCAAACCUCAACUCUUUUUUACACCAUUGCUUGCUUAGAUGAACAAUGCCUUAUACCAUACAUGUUCUUUUCAUUGUAUGAGCCAUUUAAUGCAAUCUUUCCCACAAAGAUUAUUCAUCAAUAGCAUUCUAUCUGCUCAUAGACUUAACAAGUUCAUUAGAUCUUUAAUCAUGUCAUCAUUCAACUCACCAAAACCCACUAGGGGCCUAGAUGCUCUUUCAAUCUCCCCCUUUUUGGUCAUUGAUGACAACCUUGAUUAAAGCUUACAAAAG